AUAAAUAAGCCCUCUGAUCCCCUCUGCAAAUCAUUUAUGGAAAUUGUGGAUGCAUUAGGAUUCCAGCAAUGCAUUCAGGACGCGACAUACAUUAGUGGAAAUACCCUGGAUUUGGUUCUCGCAUGUGGCUUUGCUGUCACGAAUGUUGACAUCUUGCCUCUUGCAUCGGUGGUCUCUGAUCACUCACUUAUUAGGUUUACAGUUUCACUGCUGCGUUUAGUGGAACAACAACCUUGUUUAUCACUGAGGCAAC
This is a long non-coding RNA of Thalassophryne amazonica, 253 nucleotides long. RefSeq lists it as uncharacterized. The record is from RefSeq and is a predicted model, not a curated record. Lineage: Eukaryota; Metazoa; Chordata; Actinopteri; Batrachoidiformes; Batrachoididae. The transcript is spliced from 3 exons.